RNAcentral lists this ribosomal RNA (420 nucleotides) under Triticum aestivum (bread wheat). Its description in RNAcentral is "partial small subunit ribosomal RNA". The record is from RNAcentral. Lineage: Eukaryota; Viridiplantae; Streptophyta; Magnoliopsida; Poales; Poaceae.
AUGCCUCCUCCGCCUCUGAAUCAGCCUCACGGUGAUGCUCGUCGCAUUUCUCUUGAGCCUCCUCCGUCUCUAGGUUGUGAGAUCAAGAAUUUCACUUUAGUCUCCAAACCUGCUUACCUUAAGUUUCGUCGCGAUGUUGACCAAUUCUCUGUUGAGCAUGACUCGAUGGAUUCUCGUUUUCGUACAAAUUUUCAGGCAGAAAUUUUCACCACUGUCAUUGUUCCUAAGGGUCUGUCUGUUCACCACUAUGUUGAAUUAGAGCAUAUCCAUUCUCACCCUGUGAAAUAUCCGGGUGCCAUUGAACUCAUUGAGUCCUCUGGUCUUGCUGCUCCAUUUGCUUUUGAACACAAUUUCAAUCAUGCUGCCAUUCAUCAGUUUUCAAGUGUUUCUUCGAUCCUGACAAGACCGUCACCUGGAUGA